This 325-nucleotide ribosomal RNA is filed under the name uncultured eukaryote. RNAcentral describes it as "partial 18S ribosomal RNA". It matches the Rfam family "Eukaryotic small subunit ribosomal RNA", at positions 1470 to 1796 of the family's 1831-position model. The record is from RNAcentral.
CCCUUAGAUGUUCUGGGCCGCACGCGCGCUACACUGACGCAUUCAACGAGUCUCCUUGGCCGAGAGGCCUGGGUAAUCUUGUGAACGUGCGUCGUGAUAGGGAUAGAUUAUUGCAAUUAUUAAUCUUGAACGAGGAAUUCCUAGUAAACGCAGAUCAUCAAUCUGCAUUGAUUACGUCCCUGCCCUUUGUACACACCGCCCGUCGCUCCUACCGAUUGAAUGGUCCGGUGAAGCGUUCGGACCGUGGCCUUUGGACGGUUCGCCGUCUGUUGGCUGCGGGAAGUUCGUUAAACCUUAUCAUUUAGAGGAAGGAGAAGUCGUAACA